AGCCAUGCGAGUCGAGAGGGUUCGGCCCUCGGCUGACGGCUCAGUAACACGUGGUUAAUCUGCCCUAAGGUGGAGGAUACUCUCGGGAAACUGAGAAUAAUACUCCAUAGGCCUAGGAUGCUGGAAUGCACUUAGGCUCAAAGCUCCGGCGCCCUAGGAUGAGUCUGCGGACUAUCAGGUUGUAGUCAGGGUAAAGACCUGACUAGCCUACGACGGAUACGGGUUGUGAGAGCAAUAACCCGGAGAUGAUAUCUGAGACACGAUAUCAGGCCCUACGGGGCGCAGCAGGCGCGAAAACUUCACAAUGUGCGAAAGCACGAUGAGGGAAUCCCAAGUGCUUGCUCGUAAGAGCAAGCUGUUUCUAUGUUUAAAACGCAUAGAGAGUAAGAGCUGGGUAAGACGGGUGCCAGCCGCCGCGGUAAUACCUGCAGCUCGAGUGGUGGCCGCUAUUAUUGGGCCUAAAACGUCCGUAGCCGGUUUAAUAAAUGCCUGGGUAAAUCGUGUAGCUUAACUAUACGAAUUCCGGGUAGACUGUUAAACUUGAGACCGGGAGAAGCUAGAGGUACUCCUGGGGUAGAGGUGAAAUUCUGUAAUCCUAGGGGGACCACCAGUGGCGAAGGCGUCUGGCCAGAACGGGUCUGACGGUGAGGGACGAAGCCCUGGGGCGCAAACCGGAUUAGAUACCCGGGUAGUCCAGGGUGUAAACGCUG
Molecule: ribosomal RNA, 710 nt
Filed under: uncultured archaeon
Lineage: Archaea
Description: bacterial SSU rRNA
Rfam family: Archaeal small subunit ribosomal RNA
Source: RNAcentral